This 174-nucleotide small RNA is filed under the name Chrysemys picta bellii (western painted turtle). RNAcentral describes it as "TUC338 (ENSCPBG00000027261.1)". Lineage: Eukaryota; Metazoa; Chordata; Testudines; Emydidae. The record is from RNAcentral.
CUGACAGCACUAGGGAUCCCAAUCCUUUGUUCACUGAACAGGGAUCGUAUCCCACCAGUAGUGUAAGGUUCCCCAUACUUUUUGGCCAAUGAACCUUCUCCGUGUUCCGGAAGAAACACUUCCAGAGGUGAAAGGGUAGUUCAAUAUCCAGGCCCAUUCAGUCCUUGGUCUUCC